RNAcentral lists this transfer RNA (73 nucleotides) under Ictidomys tridecemlineatus (thirteen-lined ground squirrel). Its description in RNAcentral is "Spermophilus tridecemlineatus (thirteen-lined ground squirrel) tRNA". It matches the Rfam family "tRNA". Rfam says of the family: Transfer RNA (tRNA) molecules are approximately 80 nucleotides in length. The record is from Rfam by way of RNAcentral. Lineage: Eukaryota; Metazoa; Chordata; Mammalia; Rodentia; Sciuridae.
GGGGAUGUAGCUCAGUGGUAGAGUACUUUGCCUAGCAUUUAUAAGACCCUGGGUUCAAUCCCCAGUACUUUUA